This is a long non-coding RNA of Homo sapiens (human), 1081 nucleotides long. RefSeq lists it as uncharacterized. The transcript is spliced from 2 exons. NCBI's taxonomy places the organism in Eukaryota, Metazoa, Chordata, Mammalia, Primates, Hominidae. The record is from RefSeq and is a predicted model, not a curated record.
GCACCCGGCUCUGCACACGGGCCGCGGGCGGUCAGUUCCCUGAAGGCGGCCCACUUGCGCCUCGGGGACGCCUCGGCGCGGAAGGGGCUGGGUGCAGCGGGAGGACACAGUGUACCGGGUGCUGGGUGCCCACGCCGUGCGCCUCCGCCGUGUGCACAGCUCCCCUCCCUCCUGUCCUGUACUCGAACCUGAGCCGUUAGCGCGCGGGUGAAAGCGGGACUUGGGAAUGCUGCUUGCAUUCCCAAACCGGUUGGAAGUGCAGACAGGUUACAACUCUGUAGCAGCCAAGGCUUAAUAAUUGUGCAGCAUCACAGUAAACCCGUGGGGUGGUUACUGAUGACGUAUCCGUUGCAUGUUGAGUACUUUUAGCGUGUAACAGGGACUGUAGGAAGUGUGUUGUGUGUGAGAUGUCACUUAAUUCUGUAGCAACCCAUAAGAUAAGGACUCUCCAGUAUUCUCAUUGUAGAGAGGAGAAACUGCAGGUCCAGAGAAGUUAAUUUGUCCAGAGUCACACAGCCAGUGAGUGGCAGAGCAGGGUGAAUGCGACCAGGCCCCAGCAGAUGCUAACGGCCCUCUAACAUAGAGACACCAAGGAGGAAGAGUAAGGAGAAGAAGCCACAAGCUUGGUCCUCAGGAAGCUCAGGGGCUGGGGGAACAGAGAGGAGGAGACCCCAUCCAGCCUGGGAGGAGCUCAGCCGAAUCGUCACUUCCUCUGGGGACCCUGUCCUGACCCCCAUGACCGUGGCUGCCUGUGGAAGGUGCUGGUAAACAUCCUGUUCUUUCCCCUCCUGGCGCUUUCCGUGCCUGUGGUAUGUAUAAACUGCGGGGACUCUUGGAUUGGUGUCUCUGCCCCUCCUCACCAACCCCUGACCACUGGAAAUGCCAAGGGCAGUCAUUGUCUGCCUCUGGAAUUGUGUCUUCAGCUUCCAGCACCGGGCCAAGUUUGCAGUAGACGCUUAAUAAAUAUUUGUCAAAUGAAUUCAUGGGGGUAAUGGCCUGGACUGCUCUUCCCUUCCCAGCCCCCACCUUGUAUGAAGGCCGACUACAAAAUGAAAGUAAACACCUCUUGACCACCCUGGAA